ACGGAGGGUGCAAGCGUUAUCCGGAAUCACUGGGUUUAAAGGGUGCGUAGGCGGUCUAAUAAGUCAGUUGUGAAAUCGCUGGGCUCAACCCAUGCAAUUGCGAUUGAUACUGUUAGACUUGAAUGGGGUUGAGGCUGGCGGAAUGCGACAUGUAGCGGUGAAAUGCUUAGAUAUGUCGCAGAACACCGAUUGCGAAGGCAGCCAGCUGGGCCUUUAUUGACGCUGAGGCACGAAAGCGUGGGGAGCAAACAGG
Molecule: ribosomal RNA, 253 nt
Filed under: uncultured bacterium
Lineage: Bacteria
Description: partial 16S ribosomal RNA
Rfam family: Bacterial small subunit ribosomal RNA
Source: RNAcentral